CCCUGGCGGCACGCCUAACACAUGCAAGUCGAACGAAGUAGCAAUACUUAGUGGCAGACGGGUGAGUAACAUGUGGGUAUCUGCCCUUUGGCCUGGAAUAACACGAGGAAACUUGUGCUAAUACCGGAUAAGUCUUUACGGAGAAAGCUUUAUGCACCAUUGGAUGAGCCCGCACUUGAUUAGUUUGUUGGUGGGGUAAUGGCCUACCAAGACUGUGAUCAAUAGCUGAUUUGAGAGGAUGAUCAGCCUCAUUGGGACUGAGUCACGGC
This 269-nucleotide ribosomal RNA is filed under the name uncultured Alphaproteobacteria bacterium. RNAcentral's name for it is "partial 16S ribosomal RNA". It matches the Rfam family "Bacterial small subunit ribosomal RNA", at positions 36 to 330 of the family's 1533-position model. The record is from RNAcentral. Lineage: Bacteria; Pseudomonadati; Pseudomonadota; Alphaproteobacteria.